AGAGUUUGAUCAUGGCUCAGAUUGAACGCUGGCGGCAGGCUUAACACAUGCAAGUCGAACGGUAACAGAAGAUAGCUUGCUAUUUUGCUGACGAGUGGCGGACGGGUGAGUAAUGCUUGGGAACAUGCCAAAACGUGGGGGACAACAGUUGGAAACGACUGCUAAUACCGCAUAAUAUCUUCGGAUCAAAGCAGGGGACCUUCGGGCCUUGCGCGUUUUGAGUGGCCCAAGUGGGAUUAGCUAGUUGGUAAGGUAAUGGCUUACCAAGGCGACGAUCCCUAGCUGGUCUUAGAGGAUGACCAGCCACACUGGAACUGAGACACGGUCCAGACUCCUACGGGAGGCAGCAGUGGGGAAUAUUGCACAAUGGAGGAAACUCUGAUGCAGCCAUGCCGCGUGUGUGAAGAAGGCUUUCGGGUUGUAAAGCACUUUCAGUGGGGAGGAAAGGGUGUAUGUUAAUAGCAUGCAUCUGUGACGUUACCCACAGAAGAAGCACCGGCUAACUCCGUGCCAGCAGCCGCGGUAAUACGGAGGGUGCGAGCGUUAAUCGGAAUUACUGGGCGUAAAGCGUGGGUUUCAAAGCUAACGCAUUAAAUAGACCGCCUGGGGAGUACGGCCGCAAGGUUAAAACUCAAAUGAAUUGACGGGGGCCCGCACAAGCGGUGGAGCAUGUGGUUUAAUUCGAUGCAACGCGAAGAACCUUACCAUCCCUUGACAUCCAGAGAAUCACCUAGAGAUAGAUGAGUGCCUUCGGGAACUCUGAGACAGGUGCUGCAUGGCUGUCGUCAGCUCGUGUUGUGAAAUGUUGGGUUAAGUCCCGCAACGAGCGCAACCCUUAUCCUUACUUGCCAGCGGGUUAUGCCGGGAACUUUAGGGAGACUGCCGGUGAUAAACCGGAGGAAGGUGGGGACGACGUCAAGUCAUCAUGGCCCUUACGGGAUGGGCUACACACGUGCUACAAUGGCAGAUACAAAGGGUUGCUAACCUGCGAGGGUAUGCGAAUCUCAUAAAGUCUGUCGUAGUCCGGAUCGGAGUCUGCAACUCGACUCCGUGAAGUUGGAAUCGCUAGUAAUCGUGGAUCAGAAUGCCACGGUGAAUACGUUCCCGGGCCUUGUACACACCGCCCGUCACACAAUGGGAGUGGGAUGCAAAGGAAGUCAUUAGCUUAACCUUCGGGGAUGGCGAUGACCACGGUGUGGUUCAUGACUGGGGUGAAGUCGUAACAAGGUAGCC
RNAcentral lists this ribosomal RNA (1233 nucleotides) under uncultured prokaryote. Its description in RNAcentral is "partial 16S ribosomal RNA". It matches the Rfam family "Bacterial small subunit ribosomal RNA". The record is from RNAcentral.